UACAGAGGUCCCAAGCGUUGUUCGGAUUCACUGGGCGUAAAGGGUGCGUAGGCGGUCGGGUAAGUCUGAUGUGAAAUCUCACAGCUUAACUGUGAAACUGCAUUGGAUACUAUCCGGCUCGAGGAAUGGAGGGGAGACUGGAAUACUUGGUGUAGCAGUGAAAUGCGUAGAUAUCAAGUGGAACACCAGUGGCGAAGGCGAGUCUCUGGACAUUUCCUGACGCUGAGGCGCGAAAGCGUGGGUAGCAAACAGG
RNAcentral lists this ribosomal RNA (253 nucleotides) under uncultured bacterium. RNAcentral's name for it is "partial 16S ribosomal RNA". It matches the Rfam family "Bacterial small subunit ribosomal RNA", at positions 524 to 776 of the family's 1533-position model. The record is from RNAcentral.